This 51-nucleotide non-coding RNA is filed under the name Plasmodium falciparum 3D7. Lineage: Eukaryota; Apicomplexa; Aconoidasida; Haemosporida; Plasmodiidae. The record is from RNAcentral.
UUUUCUACAAAACUCAUCUGCCCAUUCUUCUAACCAACGAAAAAAUGGGGG